Molecule: ribosomal RNA, 468 nt
Filed under: uncultured bacterium
Lineage: Bacteria
Description: partial 16S ribosomal RNA
Rfam family: Bacterial small subunit ribosomal RNA
Source: RNAcentral
GACGAACGCUGGCGGCGUGCUUAACACAUGCAAGUCGAACGGAAAGGCCCUGCUUUUGUGGGGUGCUCGAGUGGCGAACGGGUGAGUAACACGUGAGUAACCUGCCCUUGACUUUGGGAUAACUUCAGGAAACUGGGGCUAAUACCGGAUAGGAGCUCCUGCUGCAUGGUGGGGGUUGGAAAGUUUCGGCGGUUGGGGAUGGACUCGCGGCUUAUCAGCUUGUUGGUGGGGUAGUGGCGUACCAAGGCUUUGACGGGUAGCCGGCCUGAGAGGGUGAGCGGCCACAUUGGGACUGAGAGACGGCCCAGACUCCUACGGGAGGCAGCAGUGGGGAAUAUUGCAGAAUGGGCGGAAGCCUGAUGCAGCAACGCCGCGUGCGGGAUGACGGCCUUCGGGUUGUAAACCGCUUUCGCCUGUGACGAAGCGUGAGUGACGGUAAUGGGUAAAGAAGCACCGGCUAACUACGUG